UCAAAACGACUCUCGGCAACGGAUAUCUCGGCUCUCGCAUCGAUGAAGAACGUAGCGAAAUGCGAUACUUGGUGUGAAUUGCAGAAUCCCGUGAACCAUCGAGUCUUUGAACGCAAGUUGCGCCCGAARCCAUUAGRCCGAGGGCACKUCUGCMUGGGYGUCAC
This 164-nucleotide ribosomal RNA is filed under the name Mabrya geniculata. RNAcentral describes it as "5.8S ribosomal RNA". It matches the Rfam family "5.8S ribosomal RNA". Rfam says of the family: 5.8S ribosomal RNA (5.8S rRNA) is a component of the large subunit of the eukaryotic ribosome. It is transcribed by RNA polymerase I as part of the 45S precursor that also contains 18S and 28S rRNA. The record is from RNAcentral. Lineage: Eukaryota; Viridiplantae; Streptophyta; Magnoliopsida; Lamiales; Plantaginaceae.